Molecule: ribosomal RNA, 253 nt
Filed under: uncultured bacterium
Lineage: Bacteria
Description: partial 16S ribosomal RNA
Rfam family: Bacterial small subunit ribosomal RNA
Source: RNAcentral
UACGGAGGGUGCAAGCGUUAUCCGGAUUCACUGGGUUUAAAGGGUGCGUAGGUGGGUUGGUAAGUCAGUGGUGAAAUCUCCGAGCUUAACUUGGAAACUGCCAUUGAUACUAUCAGUCUUGAAUAUUGUGGAGGUUAGCGGAAUAUGUCAUGUAGCGGUGAAAUGCUUAGAUAUGACAUAGAACACCAAUUGCGAAGGCAGCUGGCUACACAAUUAUUGACACUGAGGCUCGAAAGCGUGGGGAUCAAACAGG